Molecule: long non-coding RNA, 2530 nt
Filed under: Nicotiana tabacum (common tobacco)
Lineage: Eukaryota; Viridiplantae; Streptophyta; Magnoliopsida; Solanales; Solanaceae
Description: long non-coding RNA (NTAB_LNC015744)
Source: RNAcentral
GUAAAGGAUUUGGAUUAUUACACAACAUAUUGAAUACAAUACAAUAUUCUCUACUCUUUGCUUAAACAGUUGUUCUACUCACUUAUUGUUAUUUCUUUCAUUGUUCAUUUAUUGUUCUUCAUUUAUUGCUCAUUAUUAAUCGCAAAAGGCCAUUUUUGAGGCCUUCAUCAUCAUUUAUUCUUCAUCAAUUGUUCAUUUCUAUUAACCCCGUCUAGACCUUGAGGCCCUGCUUUAACCAGUUCGAGGUCCAUCCUUGUGACCCCAUUGGUUUGCAUUUCUUAUUUUCUUUACUUACGCUUAGCAUCUAUUGCCUUACAACUAGUAUUAAAAUAAAUUACAGACUUUUAGAACUGCAAAAUCUAAUAUAAUUGUAGUUAUCAUUUUCAAGGUAAAUAGAAUGCCUCAGGCAAAAGAAAGAUAAGGAUCAUCUAGCAAAGCAAAUCUUUGCAAAAGGAAUACCAUUCAAUGUCUCCUUCUUCAUGUGGAAACUUUUCAAAAAAAAAACUACCAAUGGAUUACACUAUAUUGAGGUUUGGCUUUCAAUCAACUUCCAUAUGUUCAUGCUGCAGAGUACCUAAACCUGAAACUGUGGACCAUGUGUUCGCUACCAGUGAGUUGGCUACAAAGUUGUGGACACAUAUGGCUAGACCAUUGGGAAUAUUGCAUAAUGGGAUUUUAGUGCAGGAAAUUUUAAAUUUUUGGUGGAAUACUCAACCUAGAAACCAAGUUCAUAAACUCGUCCUUCAUAUAACACCCUAUUACAUUCUAUUGGAGCUUUGGAAAGCAAGAUUUAACAGAAAAUCCAGCCUAAAGAACACUACUAUGUAUAGAAUUGCUAAUCAAGUUCUUUUUAGUGUGCAAGUUACCAUAGCUAAAAGGUUAGGCAAGAUGGAAGCCAACUGAAGAUGGGAAACUAUCUGUCUAGUUGUGGAAAGAUAUAAGACUAGGAUCACUGGCAGCUUGGUGUACUGAGAUAAACCUCAGGGAGAUACAUGGAAACUUAAUACAUAUGGUAACUUCAUACGACGAUUGAUACUGGAAGGAAUAUGGGGGAACGUUAGGAAGGGAAAUGGAAACAUGAUUAUGGUAUUCGCCAAAAUUAUUCAACUCACACCUAACAAUCUUUGUUAACUGCAGGCUGCUAGUUAUGGAAUUAACUGAUGUUAUGAUCAACAACACACACAUCUUGUAUUAGAUAUGGACUCCCUGGUGGUGGUCAACAUGCUAAAAGGACAUGUCAUAUCUCCAUGAAGAUUGAGAAGGCAGUUAAGGAAGGUCAAAAGAAAAUUCAAGAGAGGCAAAUUGAAAUCAAGCAUCACUAUAAAGAAGCCAAUGCAAUCGCUGAUGCAUUAGCCAAGGAGGCAACUAUAAUGGAUGGUGAAAAAUUAUACCUCAGGGAAGACGAAUUACCAGGGAAUGCUAGAUGUCUUAUGAGGAUGGACAAGCUACACUUGACUUUUGUGGAGGUUUUGCUUACAUGUGCCCCUCCUGUAUUACGAUAAUGUUAUAACAAAUAGGGUAGGGGUCCAAGUCAAAACCCCACCAACACAAGAGCUAUAAACGUGGUUGGUUGGAUUCAAUGAAAAAAAUGGAAGGUAAGACUUGAUAGGAAAAAAAUAAAGAAGCUCAGGUCCUUCCAAAUAACACGAAUAUACAUUUAAUUUUACAUUUGUCAUACUUUGACCUUAUGGUGGGUAACUGCCACUUAUCUAGUAAGAAGACACUUUUAACAGUUCUAGGGAGAUGUUGGAAACUCUAAAAUGUAAGUCUGAUUAGAAGUAGAAGCAAGUUUAGCCAGGCAAUCAGCCACCUAAUUACCUUCCCUGAAACAGUGAUACACUCCGACUUUUGCCUCAUUUAUGAUGCUGAUGAUGUUGCCUGCAAUCUGUUUGAUCAUCAUAUUGUUGGUCAGCAUAUUUGCAAUAAUCAGGGAGUCGAAUUCAAGAACAAAAUUAGUAUACCCAUGUUGACUUCACCAUUUAACUCCAAACUCAUCAGCAAGAGCUUCUGUCAUGUUGUUGUUACUCUGUAUGGGCACUGAAGAGGCAAUGAUUAAGUUGCCAUUCUUGUCCCUCAUAGUGCCCCAUGGAGAUUGAGAAAGGCAAUAGAGGAAGCUCAAAAGAAAAUUCAAGAGAGGCAAAUUGAAAUCAAGUAUUGCUAUAGGAAAGCCAACGUAAUCGCUGAUGUAAUAGCAAAGGAAGCAGCUACAAUGGAUGGUGAAAAAUUAUACCUUAGGGAAGACGAAUUACCAGAGAAUGCUAGAGGUCCUAUGAGGAUGGACAAACUACACUUGGCCUCCUUUAGGUAUAAACAACGCAAACAUUCUAGUGGCAUUAUGAACCUCCUUGGUAUAUCAAUUAGGGAAGGAUCCCUCAUAAAUAAGAACCAUUUUGUCCCUCAUUCAGUUACUUUUAUUUUACCAGUUGUGUGUUAGAAUUACAAGCAAGUUAGCCAGGCAAUCAGCCACCUAAUUGUGGGAACUAUUCAAAAAAAAAAAAAAAAAAAAAAAAAAAAAAAAAAAAAAAAAAAA